CAGCCGUAAACAAUGUGCGUUAGGUGUGUCGGUAACCACGUGUUACUGAUGCGCCGAAGAGAAAUCGUGAAACGCACCACCUGGGAAGUACGGUCGCAAGGCUGAAACUUAAAGGAAUUGGCGGGAGAGCACCACAACAGGUGGAGCCUGCGGUUUAAUUGGAUUCAACGCCGGACAUCUCACCGGAUAAGACAGCUGAAUGAUUGUCAAUCUGAAGGUUUUACAUGACUAGCUGAGAGGAGGUGCAUGGCGUCAGUGACU
RNAcentral lists this ribosomal RNA (261 nucleotides) under uncultured archaeon. RNAcentral's name for it is "partial 16S ribosomal RNA". It matches the Rfam family "Archaeal small subunit ribosomal RNA", at positions 748 to 1008 of the family's 1478-position model. The record is from RNAcentral.